This 460-nucleotide ribosomal RNA is filed under the name uncultured bacterium. RNAcentral's name for it is "partial 16S ribosomal RNA". It matches the Rfam family "Bacterial small subunit ribosomal RNA", at positions 338 to 795 of the family's 1533-position model. The record is from RNAcentral.
CCUACGGGUGGCAGCAGUGAGGAAUAUUGGUCAAUGGACGAGAGUCUGAACCAGCCAAGUAGCGUGAAGGAUGACUGCCCUAUGGGUUGUAAACUUCUUUUAUAUGGGAAUAAAAUGUUCCACGUGUGGGAUUUUGUAUGUACCAUAUGAAUAAGUAUCGGUUAACUCCGUGCCAGCAGCCGCGGUAAUACGGAGGAUCCGAGCGUUAUCCGGAUUUAUUUGGUUUAAAGGGAGCGUAGGUGGAUUGUUAAGUCAGUUGUGAACAUUUGGGGCCAAACCGUAAAAUUGCAGUUGAAACUGGCAGGCUUGAGUACGGUAGAGGUGGGCGGAAUUCGUGGGGUAGCGGUGAAAUGCUUAGAUAUCACGAAGAACUCCGAUUGCGAAGGCAGCUCACUGGACUGCAACUGACACUGAGGCUCGAAAGUGUGGGUAUCAAACAGGAUUAGAUACCCGGGUAGUC